This 86-nucleotide transfer RNA is filed under the name Flammeovirgaceae bacterium. RNAcentral's name for it is "tRNA-Leu". It matches the Rfam family "tRNA". Rfam says of the family: Transfer RNA (tRNA) molecules are approximately 80 nucleotides in length. Their secondary structure includes four short double-helical elements and three loops (D, anti-codon, and T loops). Lineage: Bacteria; Pseudomonadati; Bacteroidota; Cytophagia; Cytophagales; Flammeovirgaceae. The record is from RNAcentral.
GCGCACGUGGUGGAAUUGGUAGACACGCCAGGUUGAGGGCCUGGUGCCCGUAAAAGGGCGUGGAGGUUCGACUCCUCUCGUGCGCA